AUGGUGUCUCCCGCAGCUGGUUCGACCGCUCCCCCGAGGACCGGUCGAGGCAAGAGGGAACCCGGUGUGAAUCCGGGACUGCCCCGCAGCGGUGAGUGGGAACGACCGCCGUCACCACGCACUGGGCCCCGACGGGCCUGGGAAGCGACGGCCAGUAGGCGACCGGCGACCCCGGUCCCGCCCACGAGUCCGAAGACCUGCCAGCGCGCCGUCCGCGUG
Molecule: non-coding RNA, 219 nt
Filed under: Micromonospora rosaria
Lineage: Bacteria; Bacillati; Actinomycetota; Actinomycetes; Micromonosporales; Micromonosporaceae
Source: RNAcentral